RNAcentral lists this ribosomal RNA (474 nucleotides) under uncultured bacterium. Its description in RNAcentral is "bacterial SSU rRNA". It matches the Rfam family "Bacterial small subunit ribosomal RNA", at positions 328 to 793 of the family's 1533-position model. The record is from RNAcentral.
CGCUGUCACUCCUACGGGAGGCAGCAGUGGGGAAUAUUGCACAAUGGGCGCAAGCCUGAUGCAGCCAUGCCGCGUGUGUGAAGAAGGCCUUCGGGUUGUAAAGCACUUUCAGUCGUGAGGAAGGUAGUGUAGUUAAUAGCUGCAUUAUUUGACGUUAGCUGCAGAAGAAGCACCGGCUAACUCCGUGCCAGCAGCCGCGGUAAUACGGAGGGUGCGAGCGUUAAUCGGAAUUACUGGGCGUAAAGCGCAUGCAGGUGGUUCGUUAAGUCAGAUGUGAAAGCCCGGGGCUCAACCUCGGAAUUGCAUUUAGAAACUGGCGGACUAGAGUACUGUAGAGGGGGUAGAAUUUCAGGUGUAGCGGUGAAAAUGCGUAGAGAUCUGAAGGAAUACCGGUGGCGAAGGCGGCCCCCUGGACAGAUACUGACACUCAGAUGCGAAAGCGUGGGGAGCAAACAGGAUUAGAUACCCUGGUAG